UUUCCGUAGGUGAACCUGCGGAAGGAUCAUUAAAAAAUAUCACGUUAUUGUGAUUUAAUAUCAUCCUACCUUUGUGAAUUUGCUUUGUUUGAAAAUUAUGUUGUCUAUCCCGAUGGUUUUGGAAAAGUUGAAAAACUUUUUCGAAUCCUAGGACUAGGCUUUCAUAGACCUUUUUUAAAUUAACUUUUGUAUUCAUUUGUCUAAAUUUAUUUUAAUAAUUUAAAAACAACUUUUGACAAUGGAUCCUUGGUCUCGCAACGAUGAAGAACGCAGCAAAAUGCGAUAAGUAAUGUGAAUUGCAGAAUACGUGAAUCAUCAAAUCUUCGAACGCGUAUUGCACUUUUCUAGUUUACUAGAAAAGUAUGUCUGUUUGAGUAUCAGUAAAAUAUUCUCAUAAAAAACAUUGUUUUUUAUGGUUAUGAGUGUUCUACAACGAUAAACAAGUUGUUUCACUUUAAAUUGAUUUUUAAAAGCCAAUUUGGUUUUAUCUAAUAAAUUGGAUAAAAUUUUCCCGUAAAAGGAAUAAACUUUUCAGUUUUAAAGGUAAAACUUUAGUUGAGCCUAAUAAAAGGAAAUUUAACAAAAUAACUUGAUCUCAAAUCAGAUAAGAGUACCCGCUGACUUAAGCAUAUCAAUAAGCGGAGGAAAAGAAACUAACAAGGAUUCCCUUAGUAACGGCGAGUGAAGCGGAAGAGCUCAAAUUUGAAUCUUCAAGGUUCUACCUUGACGAAUUGUAGUUUAUAGAAGUGUUUCUGUUAGUGAGUGCAAAAGUUCCUUGGAAUAGGACAUCAUAGAGGGUGAGAAUCCCGUAUUUGGUCAUUCCUCUAGCGUUGUGAUACACUUUCAACGAGUCGGAUUGUUUGGGAAUGCAGUCAAAAUGGUGGUAAUUUCAUCUAAAGCUAAAUAUUGGCGAGAGACCGAUAGCGAACAGUACCGUGAGGGAAAGAUGAAAAGAACUUUGAAAAGAGAGUUAACUGUACGUGAAAUUGUCAAAAGGGAAGCGUUUGACACCAGUGUUGUUUUUCCGAAAAUCAAUUACGAAUGUUUUGUUUUUAAGAAGUUAUGACUUCAUCGGCUUGCUUCUUUCUUUAUGAAACUUUCUUAAUGCACUUUCGGUUAACAAGUCAACAUCAAUUUCUUUUGUUGUAAAGGUAUGAGGAAGGUGGCUUUCUUUCGGAGAAAGUGUUUAUAGCCUUGUGCCUCUGCAAUCGGAGAGAUUGAGGUCUGCAGCGUAGAUCCUUCGGGUUAGAUACAUUUGUGCUAAUUAUAGCUUUUCAUAGACAACUUGUUGACUAUGUUAUCUUGUAGCUUACUCGCUUAUGCUAUUU
This 1328-nucleotide unclassified non-coding RNA is filed under the name uncultured Neocallimastigales. Its description in RNAcentral is "partial contains small subunit ribosomal RNA, internal transcribed spacer 1, 5.8S ribosomal RNA, internal transcribed spacer 2, and large subunit ribosomal RNA". The stretch from base 591 to 1328 matches the Rfam family "Eukaryotic large subunit ribosomal RNA", at positions 1 to 617 of the family's 3401-position model. Lineage: Eukaryota; Fungi; Neocallimastigomycota; Neocallimastigomycetes; Neocallimastigales. The record is from RNAcentral.